RNAcentral lists this ribosomal RNA (355 nucleotides) under Polydesmus coriaceus. RNAcentral describes it as "SSU rRNA". It matches the Rfam family "Eukaryotic small subunit ribosomal RNA", at positions 594 to 945 of the family's 1831-position model. Lineage: Eukaryota; Metazoa; Arthropoda; Diplopoda; Polydesmida; Polydesmidae. The record is from RNAcentral.
AUAGCGUAUAUUAAAGUUGUUGCGGUUAAAAAGCUCGUAGUUGGAUGUCAGUUGCGGGCGGGCGGUCCACCGUUUUGGUGGUUUACUGCUCGUCCCGUGACCUACCAACCGGCCUCCCCCGCUAUGCUCUUUACCGAGUGUGGCGGGUGGCCGGAACUUUUACUUUGAAAAAAUUAGAGUGCUCUAAGCAGGUGCAUGCCGCCUGAAUAACACAGCAUGGAAUAAUGGAAUAGGACCUCGGUUCUAUUUUGUUGGUUUUCGGAAUUCUGAGGUAAUGAUAAAUAGGAACGGAUGGGGGCAUUCGUAUUGCGACGUUAGAGGUGAAAUUCUUGGAUCGUCGCAAGACGGACAUAAG